This 460-nucleotide ribosomal RNA is filed under the name uncultured bacterium. RNAcentral's name for it is "partial 16S ribosomal RNA". It matches the Rfam family "Bacterial small subunit ribosomal RNA", at positions 338 to 795 of the family's 1533-position model. The record is from RNAcentral.
CCUACGGGAGGCAGCAGUGAGGAAUAUUGGUCAAUGGCCGGGAGGCUGAACCAGCCAAGUCGCGUGAGGGAAGACGGCCCUACGGGUUGUAAACCUCUUUUGUCAGGGAGCAAGGUGCAGGUCGGGACCUGCUGUGAGAGUACCUGAAGAAAAAGCAUCGGCUAACUCCGUGCCAGCAGCCGCGGUAAUACGGAAGGUCCGGGCGUUAUCCGGAUUUAUUGGGUUUAAAGGGAGCGUAGGCCGCAUGUCAAGCGUGCUGUGAAAUGUCCGGGCUCAACCCGGGCCUUGCAGCGCGAACUGGCGUGCUUGAGUCCGCGGAAAGCAGGCGGAAUUCGUCGUGUAGCGGUGAAAUGCUUAGAUAUGACGAAGAACCCCGAUUGCGAAGGCAGCUUGCUGCAGCGGAACUGACGCUGAUGCUCGAAAGCGCGGGUAUCGAACAGGAUUAGAUACCCGGGUAGUC